CCCGACUGCUAUUUGGGUGAGGAUAAGCCAUGCGAGUUGAAUGGGAUACCUAAAUUUCCCAUGGCAAACUGCUCAGUAACACAUGAUCGACUUACCCUAUAGAGAAAAAUAACCUCGGGAAACUGAGGAUAAUAUUUCAUAGUUGAAUAGGCUUGGAAAAGUUUUUCAAUAAAAGGGAUAAAAAAAUGGUUUUUAUCUGCUAUAGGAUAGGAUCGUGGACGAUUAUGGUUGUUGGUGAGGUAACGGCUCACCAAGCCGAUAAUCGAUAGGGGCCGUGAGAGCGGGAGCCCCGAGAUGGGUACUGAGACAACGACCCAGGCCUUACGAGGCGCAGCAGGCGCGGAACCUCCGCAAUACACGAAAGUGUGACGGGGUUACCCAAAGUGUUCAAUUCUGAACUGUGGUAGGUGAGUAAUGUUCCCUACUAGAAAGGAGAGGGCAAGGCUGGUGCCAGCCGCCGCGGUAAAACCAGCUCUUCAAGUGGUCGGGAUAAUAUUGGGCUUAAAGUGUCCGUAGCCGGUUUAGUAAGUUCCUGGUAAAAUCGGGUAGCUCAACUAUCUGCAUGCUAGGAAUACCGCUAUACUAGAGGGCGGGAGAGGUCUGAGGUACUACAGGGGUAGGGGUGAAAUCUUAUAAUCCUUGUAGGACCACCAGUGGCGAGGGCGUCAGACUGGAACGCGCCUGACGGUGAGGGACGAAAGCCAGGGGAGCGAACCGGAUUAGAUACCCGGGUAGUCCUGGCCGUAAACGAUGCAUACUAGGUGAUGGUAUGGCCAUGAGCCGUAUCAGUGCCGUAGGGAAACCGUUAAGUGUGCCGCCUGGGAAGUACGGUCGCAAGGCUAAAACUUAAAGGAAUUGGCGGGGGGGCACCACAAGGGGUGAAGCCUGCGGUUCA
Molecule: ribosomal RNA, 895 nt
Filed under: uncultured archaeon
Lineage: Archaea
Description: bacterial SSU rRNA
Rfam family: Archaeal small subunit ribosomal RNA
Source: RNAcentral